Molecule: ribosomal RNA, 465 nt
Filed under: uncultured Klebsiella sp.
Lineage: Bacteria; Pseudomonadati; Pseudomonadota; Gammaproteobacteria; Enterobacterales; Enterobacteriaceae
Description: bacterial SSU rRNA
Rfam family: Bacterial small subunit ribosomal RNA
Source: RNAcentral
CCUACGGGAGGCUGCAGUGGGGAAUAUUGCACAAUGGGCGCAAGCCUGAUGCAGCCAUGCCGCGUGUGUGAAGAAGGCCUUCGGGUUGUAAAGCACUUUCAGCGGGGAGGAAGGCGUUAAGGUUAAUAACCUUGUCGAUUGACGUUACCCGCAGAAGAAGCACCGGCUAACUCCGUGCCAGCAGCCGCGGUAAUACGGAGGGUGCAAGCGUUAAUCGGAAUUACUGGGCGUAAAGCGCACGCAGGCGGUCUGUCAAGUCGGAUGUGAAAUCCCCGGGCUCAACCUGGGAACUGCAUUCGAAACUGGCAGGCUAGAGUCUUGUAGAGGGGGGUAGAAUUCCAGGUGUAGCGGUGAAAUGCGUAGAGAUCUGGAGGAAUACCGGUGGCGAAGGCGGCCCCCUGGACAAAGACUGACGCUCGGGUGCGAAAGCGUGGGGAGCAAACAGGAUUAGAUACCCUAGUAGUC